UACGUCCUACGGGGGGCAGCAGUGGGGAAUAUUGCACAAUGGGGGAAACCCUGAUGCAGCGACGCCGCGUGAGUGAAGAAGUAUCUCGGUACGUAAAGCUCUAUCAGCAGGGAAGAAAAAAAGUCUUUGGCUUUGGACGGUACCUGACUAAGAAGCCCCGGCUAACUACGUGCCAGCAGCCGCGGUAAUACGUAGGGGGCAAGCGUUAUCCGGAUUUACUGGGUGUAAAGGGAGCGCAGGCGGCGCGGUAAGUCUGAUGUGAAAGCCCGGGGCUCAACCCCGGGACUGCAUUGGAAACUGUCGUG
RNAcentral lists this ribosomal RNA (305 nucleotides) under uncultured bacterium. Its description in RNAcentral is "partial 16S ribosomal RNA". It matches the Rfam family "Bacterial small subunit ribosomal RNA", at positions 334 to 640 of the family's 1533-position model. The record is from RNAcentral.